GUAAGUAGGAAAAGGAUUUUGGCCAGUGG
This 29-nucleotide non-coding RNA is filed under the name Cricetulus griseus (Chinese hamster). Lineage: Eukaryota; Metazoa; Chordata; Mammalia; Rodentia; Cricetidae. The record is from RNAcentral.